RNAcentral lists this ribosomal RNA (490 nucleotides) under uncultured bacterium. RNAcentral's name for it is "partial 16S ribosomal RNA". It matches the Rfam family "Bacterial small subunit ribosomal RNA", at positions 30 to 507 of the family's 1533-position model. The record is from RNAcentral.
AUUGAACGCUGGCGGCAGGCCUAACACAUGCGAGUCGAACGGUAACAGGAAGAAGCUUGCUUCUUUGCUGACGAGUGGCGGACGGGUGAGUAAUGUCUGGGAAACUGCCUGAUGGAGGGGGAUAACUACUGGAAACGGUAGCUAAUACCGCAUAACGUCGCAAGACCAAAGAGGGGGACCUUCGGGCCUCUUGCCAUCGGAUGUGCCCAGAUGGGAUUAGCUAGUAGGUGGGGUAACGGCUCACCUAGGCGACGAUCCCUAGCUGGUCUGAGAGGAUGACCAGCCACACUGGAACUGAGACAUGGUCCAGACUCCUACGGGAGGCAGCAGUGGGGAAUAUUGCACAAUGGGCGCAAGCCUGAUGCAGCCAUGCCGCGUGUAUGAAGAAGGCCUUCGGGUUGUAAAGUACUUUCAGCGGGGAGGAAGGGAGUAAAGUUAAUACCUUUGCUCAUUGACGUUACCCGCAGAAGAAGCACCGGCUAACUCCGUG